CCAGAGACCAAUAUCCAUCACUAGGAGUCUAUGAAGAGUCGAAAGGGACUCUCCCGGAAUUACCUUGCAGUCCUUGCACAUACCCCUAUCGCUCCUUCUGAAGAGGAGGGAAUCAAUCUGAGUCCUCGCCGCCGAACUCUUGAAGGAGACCAAAUGCUCCUCCCUCUUCUGAAAUGUCGAGUUCGAAAUUAGAAGCUCGGAAGCCCUGGCGAAAUCAAGCAGUGACGUAUCUCCUCCAUUCUUAACCCCAAAGCCUUAGCCACCGUGCACCUCACCAUAACCACCAACAUCAGCCCCAAUAUGACCAUUAAAGUCCCCUCCGAUAACUAACUUCUCAGAUUGGGGAAUACUACUCACCAGAUCAUCAAAGCCCUCCCAAAAG
RNAcentral lists this long non-coding RNA (382 nucleotides) under Nicotiana benthamiana. Its description in RNAcentral is "long non-coding RNA (NBEN_LNC033490)". Lineage: Eukaryota; Viridiplantae; Streptophyta; Magnoliopsida; Solanales; Solanaceae. The record is from RNAcentral.